GCCCGGUUGGCUCAGUCAGUGGAGCAUGAGACUCUUGAUCUUGGGGUUGUGAGUUCCAGCCUCACAUUGGCUG
This 73-nucleotide transfer RNA is filed under the name Canis lupus familiaris (dog). It matches the Rfam family "tRNA". Rfam says of the family: Transfer RNA (tRNA) molecules are approximately 80 nucleotides in length. Their secondary structure includes four short double-helical elements and three loops (D, anti-codon, and T loops). The record is from Rfam by way of RNAcentral. Lineage: Eukaryota; Metazoa; Chordata; Mammalia; Carnivora; Canidae. RNAcentral also lists the same sequence under 1 other name.